GAUAUGGGUUCAGGUAUUACCCAUACCCGUAGGUUCGGAUAGAGUUAGGAUUCGGAUUUGGGUAGAAAACAGCACUACCCAUACCCGUGCUACAGUUUUCGGGUUUUACCUAAAUCCGAAUCCAAACUCGAUCAAACCCUAUUUUUCGGGUUUGACUGGGUUUGGGUAGGAUGCAUACCUAUCGGGUCGAGUCGAUUUUGCCAUCUCUAUUUUUCACUAUCUGUUUUCAAGAUCCCAACUUACU
Molecule: long non-coding RNA, 244 nt
Filed under: Elaeis guineensis (African oil palm)
Lineage: Eukaryota; Viridiplantae; Streptophyta; Magnoliopsida; Arecales; Arecaceae
Description: long non-coding RNA (EGUI_LNC073505)
Source: RNAcentral